RNAcentral lists this transfer RNA (65 nucleotides) under Petracola ventrimaculatus. RNAcentral's name for it is "tRNA-His". The record is from RNAcentral. RNAcentral also lists the same sequence under 1 other name. Lineage: Eukaryota; Metazoa; Chordata; Lepidosauria; Squamata; Gymnophthalmidae.
UGUCCGCAUAGUUUAAAAACACUAGACUGUGAACCUAGAAAUAGAUCUUGCGAACCAAGUGUGUA